This 91-nucleotide transfer RNA is filed under the name Pseudogymnoascus sp. 03VT05. Its description in RNAcentral is "partial tRNA-Thr". It matches the Rfam family "tRNA". From Rfam's summary of the family: Transfer RNA (tRNA) molecules are approximately 80 nucleotides in length. Their secondary structure includes four short double-helical elements and three loops (D, anti-codon, and T loops). The record is from RNAcentral. Lineage: Eukaryota; Fungi; Ascomycota; Leotiomycetes; Thelebolales; Thelebolaceae.
GCCCCCAUAGCUCAGUUGGUAGAGCGCGGCACUAGUAUGAUCCACGAUCUAUCAUAUGCCGAGGUCUACGGUUCAACUCCGUAUGUGGGCA